This 384-nucleotide ribosomal RNA is filed under the name uncultured bacterium. RNAcentral describes it as "bacterial SSU rRNA". It matches the Rfam family "Bacterial small subunit ribosomal RNA", at positions 338 to 739 of the family's 1533-position model. The record is from RNAcentral.
CCUACGGGAGGCAGCAGUGGGGAAUAUUGGACAAUGGGCGCAAGCCUGAUCCAGCCAUGCCGCGUGAGUGAUGAAGGCCUUAGGGUUGUAAAGCUCUUUCAGUAGGGACGAUAAUGACGGUACCUACAGAAGAAGCCCCGGCUAACUUCGUGCCAGCAGCCGCGGUAAUACGAAGGGGGCUAGCGUUGUUCGGAUUUACUGGGCGUAAAGCGCACGUAGGCGGAUCGUUAAGUCGGGGGUGAAAUCCUGGAGCUCAACUCCAGAACUGCCUUCGAUACUGGCGAUCUUGAGUCCGGAAGAGGUGAGUGGAACUCCUAGUGUAGAGGUGGAAUUCGUAGAUAUUAGGAAGAACACCAGUGGCGAAGGCGGCUCACUGGUCCGGUA